This is a non-coding RNA of Hydra vulgaris (swiftwater hydra), 287 nucleotides long. The record is from RefSeq and is a predicted model, not a curated record. NCBI's taxonomy places the organism in Eukaryota, Metazoa, Cnidaria, Hydrozoa, Anthoathecata, Hydridae.
GUUAGUUUAAAAUAUUAUUUUUUAUUAUAAUGAUUUUAUAUAUUAGGUAGGUGCCCAUUCUCAGAAGUUAUUUAUACCUAUGCAAUACCUUUGCUCAGGUUAAAGAAUGGAAUACUAGUCUUGCAUCAAAUAUAUUUUACAUAUCCAUUCGAUGUUUAUCACCAGAAGUUAGUUCUACCUUUGCAGUACCUCUGCUCUACAUACCUCCUCGCUGGUUAAAGAAUGGAAUAUAAAUCUCAUAUCAAGUUGGUGUAAAAAUUUAGUUCAAUAAAUUAAGAAUUUGUAAA